GACGAACGCUGGCGGCGUGCUUAACACAUGCAAGUCGAACGAUGAAGCUGGAGCUUGCUCCGGUGGAUUAGUGGCGAACGGGUGAGUAACACGUGAGCAAUCUGCCCUUGACUCUGGGAUAACUGCGGGAAACUGUAGCUAAUACCGGAUACUUUCACUGGAAGGCAUCUUCUGGUGAAGAAAGAAUUUCGGUCAAGGAUGGACUCGCGGCCUAUCAGCUAGUUGGUGAGGUAACGGCUCACCAAGGCGACGACGGGUAGCCGGCCUGAGAGGGUGACCGGCCACACUGGGACUGAGACACGGCCCAGACUCCUACGGGAGGCAGCAGUGGGGAAUAUUGCACAAUGGGCGCAAGCCUGAUGCAGCAACGCCGCGUGAGGGAUGACGGCCUUCGGGUUGUAAACCUCUUUUAGUAGGGAAGAAGCGAAAGUGACGGUACCUGCAGAAAAAGCACCGGCUAACUACGUGCCAGCCGCCGCAGUAA
Molecule: ribosomal RNA, 484 nt
Filed under: uncultured bacterium
Lineage: Bacteria
Description: partial 16S ribosomal RNA
Rfam family: Bacterial small subunit ribosomal RNA
Source: RNAcentral